RNAcentral lists this ribosomal RNA (387 nucleotides) under uncultured bacterium. RNAcentral describes it as "bacterial SSU rRNA". It matches the Rfam family "Bacterial small subunit ribosomal RNA", at positions 29 to 416 of the family's 1533-position model. The record is from RNAcentral.
AUUGAACGCUGGCGGCAUGCCUUACACAUGCAAGUCGAACGGCAGCACGGGAGCAAUCCUGGUGGCGAGUGGCGAACGGGUGAGUAAUAUAUCGGAACGUGCCCAGUCGUGGGGAUAACGUAGCGAAAGCUACGCUAAUACCGCAUACGAUCUAUGGAUGAAAGCGGGGGGAUCGCAAGACCUCGCGCGAUUGGAGCGGCCGAUAUCAGAUUAGGUAGUUGGUGAGGUAAAGGCUCGCCAAGCCGACGAUCUGUAGCUGGUCUGAGAGGACGACCAGCCACACUGGGACUGAGACACGGCCCAGACUCCUACGGGAGGCAGCAGUGGGGAAUUUUGGACAAUGGGCGCGAAGCCUGAUCCAGCAAUGCCGCGUGCAGGAUGAAGGCC